AACGAACGCUGGCGGCAUGCCUAACACAUGCAAGUCGAACGAGAUCUUCGGGUCUAGUGGCGCACGGGUGCGUAACGCGUGGGAAUCUGCCCUUUGGUUCGGAAUAACAGUUGGAAACGACUGCUAAUACCGGAUGAUGACGAAAGUCCAAAGAUUUAUCGCCAGAGGAUGAGCCCGCGUAGGAUUAGCUAGUUGGUGUGGUAAGGCGCACCAAGGCGACGAUCCUUAGCUGGUCUGAGAGGACGAUCAGCCACACUGGGACUGAGACACGGCCCAGACUCCUACGGGAGGCAGCAGUGGGGAAUAUUGGACAAUGGGCGAAAGCCUGAUCCAGCAAUGCCGCGUGAGUGAUGAAGGCCUUAGGGUUGUAAAGCUCUUUUACCCGGGAUGAUAAUGACAGUACCGGGAGAAUAAGCUCCGGCUAACUCCGUGCCAGCCGCCGCAGUAA
This 448-nucleotide ribosomal RNA is filed under the name uncultured bacterium. RNAcentral's name for it is "partial 16S ribosomal RNA". It matches the Rfam family "Bacterial small subunit ribosomal RNA", at positions 29 to 523 of the family's 1533-position model. The record is from RNAcentral.